GAUGAACGCUGGCGGCGUGCCUAAUACAUGCAAGUCGAGCGAACAGACGAGGAGCUUGCUCCUCUGACGUUAGCGGCGGACGGGUGAGUAACACGUGGAUAACCUACCUAUAUGACUGGGAUAACUUCGGGAAACCGGAGCUAAUACCGGAUAAUAUAUUGAACCGCAUGGUUCAAUAGUGAAUGACGGUUUUGCUGUCACUUAUAGAUGGAUCCGCGCCGCAUUAGCUAGUUGGUAAGGUAACGGCUUACCAAGGCAACGAUGCGUAGCCGACCUGAGAGGGUGAUCGGCCACACUGGAACUGAGACACGGUCCAGACUCCUACGGGAGGCAGCAGUAGGGAAUCUUCCGCAAUGGGCGAAAGCUUGACGGAGCAACGCCGCGUGAGUGAUGAAGGUCUUCGGAUCGUAAAGCUCUGUUAUUAGGGAAGAACAAAUGUGUAAGUAACUAUGCACGUCUUGACGGUACCUAAUCAGAAAGCCACGGCUAACUACGUG
RNAcentral lists this ribosomal RNA (497 nucleotides) under uncultured bacterium. RNAcentral describes it as "partial 16S ribosomal RNA". It matches the Rfam family "Bacterial small subunit ribosomal RNA", at positions 28 to 507 of the family's 1533-position model. The record is from RNAcentral.